CCUACGGGAGGCAGCAGUGAGGAAUAUUGGUCAAUGGGCGCGAGCCUGAACCAGCCAAGUAGCGUGAAGGAUGACUGCCCUACGGGUUGUAACCUUCUUUUAUAAAGGAAUAAAGUGCGGCACGUGUGCCUUUUUGUAUGUACUUUAUGAAUACGGAUCGGCUAACUCCGUGCCAGCAGCCGCGGUAAUACGGAGGAUCCGAGCGUUAUCCGGAUUUAUUGGGUGUAAAGGGAGCGUAGAUGGGUUGGUAAGUCAGUUGUGAAAGUUUGCGGCUCAACCGUAAAAUUGCAAUUGAUACUGGCAGUCUUGAGUACAGUAGAGGUACGCGGAAUUCGUGGUGUAGCGGUGAAAGGCUUAGAUAUCACGAAGAACUCCGAUGGCGAAGGCAGCUUACUAAACGGCCACUGACAUUGAUGCUCGAAAGUGUGGGUAUCAAACAGGAUUAGAUACCCCUGUAGUC
RNAcentral lists this ribosomal RNA (460 nucleotides) under uncultured bacterium. RNAcentral describes it as "partial 16S ribosomal RNA". It matches the Rfam family "Bacterial small subunit ribosomal RNA", at positions 338 to 795 of the family's 1533-position model. The record is from RNAcentral.